AUCAAAUCAGGAUUGCUCAACCUUGGCACUAUUGACAUUGGGACUGGAUGAUUCUGUUGGGGCUGUCCUGUGCAUUCUAGGAUGUUUAGUAGCAUCCCUGGCAUCAGCUGACCCAGUUUCAAGGUUUCUGUUACACUCUGAAAUUCCCUGAUUUGCUUUAGGAACCCCAGAUUCUUCUCCAUGGUCGGAAUCAUUGCAAAAUAACUGACGGAGUUUCACCAUGUUGGCCAGGAUGGUCUCUGUCUCUUGACCUCGUGAUCCGCCCGCCUUGGACUUCCAGAGUGCUGGGAUUACAGGCAUGAGCCACCACGCCCAGCCUUGUUUUUGUAUAUUUUGUAGAGACAGGUCUUACUAUGUUGCCCAGGUUUGUCUUGGAGCUCCACUCCAAGGUGGAGCUCAAGCGAUCCACCUGCCUCAGCCUCCCAAAGUGCUGGGAUUACAGAUGUGAGCCACCAUGCCCAGCCUUCAUGGGUAAGUUUUUUUUUUUCCUUUUCUUCCAAAUAUAUAAAUGGUAAGUCUUCUGCAAAUAAUAGGGCCUCCAGGUUUUACUUGCAAAAACAGGCCCAUGCUAUACACAUCAUUCUGCAAACUGCUGAAUACACUUCAUACAUUACAGACAUAUUUCUGUGACAGUAUAUUUUAGAGCUACCUUAUUUUUUUUUAAAUCCACAUAUUAUAAUUUGUUUAACCAGACCCUUAUUAUCAUUAUUUUUUAGAGAUGGGGUCUCACUCUCUUGCCCAGGCUGGAGUGCAGUGGCACAAUCAUAGUUUACUGCAACCUCGAACGCCUGGACUCAAGCAAUCCUCCCACCUCAGCCUCCUGCAUAGCUAGGACUACAGGUUUCCCUAGGAUCACCAGCUGUCAUGGACUGAUUUGUGUCUCUCCAAAUUCAUAUGUUGAAUACUUAACCUGCCAUGCGAUUGUGAUUGGAGAUAAUUCCUUUAGGGAAGCAAUGAAGGUUAAAUGAGGUCAUAGGUGGGAGCUUAAUCCAAUGGGACUGGGGUCCCUACAAGAAGAGGAAGACACCAGAGCUCUCUGUCUCCACACACAGAGAAAAGAGGCUGUAUGAGGACACAAGAGAAGGUAAUAGCUGUCUACAAACCAAGAAGAGAAGCCUCUCCAGAAAAUGAACCCUGCUGGAACUUGGUCUUGGACUUUCCAGCCUCCAGAACUGGGAGAAAAUAAAGUUCAAAAUAAAGUUCUGUUG
This 1208-nucleotide long non-coding RNA is filed under the name Homo sapiens (human). Its description in RNAcentral is "HSALNT0291724". The record is from RNAcentral. Lineage: Eukaryota; Metazoa; Chordata; Mammalia; Primates; Hominidae.